AAAGGGGAAUUAAAUGAAAAUCAAAUCAAAACUAAAUGCAUGAAUGAUAAAUUUCAUUAUUCAUUGAAACGAAAUCAGAGCAAUCACAAAACAAAGAAUUUAUACCAAAAAUUUCAUUAUUCAUCAAAAUAAAAUUAGAGCACUCAGAACGAGGAGAACCAUAACGAUGCAAGGCGGACAAAAAAAAAUCCUAUACAAACUAGAAUAGGGUGACUAUGUUUCACUGAUUCAAGACUUCACCUUGCAAACCUUGUCCUUCUUUUUCUAAAAUUAACCAGAAAAUGAGAAAAUUAUUAUCCAC
Molecule: long non-coding RNA, 301 nt
Filed under: Trifolium pratense (red clover)
Lineage: Eukaryota; Viridiplantae; Streptophyta; Magnoliopsida; Fabales; Fabaceae
Description: long non-coding RNA (TPRA_LNC013059)
Source: RNAcentral